Molecule: ribosomal RNA, 500 nt
Filed under: uncultured bacterium
Lineage: Bacteria
Description: bacterial SSU rRNA
Rfam family: Bacterial small subunit ribosomal RNA
Source: RNAcentral
GGGGAAGGGUGCUUGUUCCUGACCUAGCGGCGGACGGGUGAGUAUGCUUAGGAAUCUGCCUAUUAGUGGGGGACAACAUUCCGAAAGGAAUGCUAAUACCGCAUACGCCCUACGGGGGAAAGCAGGGGAUCUUCGGACCUUGCGCUAAUAGAUGAGCCUAAGUCAGAUUAGCUAGUUGGUGGGGUAAAGGCCUACCAAGGCGACGAUCUGUAGCGGGUCUGAGAGGAUGAUCCGCCACACUGGGACUGAGACACGGCCCAGACUCCUACGGGAGGCAGCAGUGGGGAAUAUUGGACAAUGGGCGAAAGCCUGAUCCAGCCAUGCCGCGUGUGUGAAGAAGGCCUUUUGGUUGUAAAGCACUUUAAGCGAGGAGGAGGCUACUGAGAUUAAUACUCUUGGAUAGUGGACGUUACUCGCAGAAUAAGCACCGGCUAACUCUGUGCCAGCAGCCCGCGGUAAUACAGAGGGUGCGAGCGUUAAUCGGAUUUACUGGGCGUAAA